This 555-nucleotide ribosomal RNA is filed under the name uncultured fungus. Its description in RNAcentral is "eukaryotic LSU rRNA". It matches the Rfam family "Eukaryotic large subunit ribosomal RNA", at positions 70 to 650 of the family's 3401-position model. Lineage: Eukaryota; Fungi. The record is from RNAcentral.
AGGGAUUGCCCUAGUAACGGCGAGUGAAGCGGCAACAGCUCAAAUUUGAAAUCUGGCUUCGGCCCGAGUUGUAAUUUGCAGAGGAUGCUUCUGGCGCGGUGCCUUCCGAGUUCCCUGGAACGGGACGCCACAGAGGGUGAGAGCCCCGUAUGGUCGGACACCAAGCCUGUGUGAAGCUCCUUCGACGAGUCGAGUAGUUUGGGAAUGCUGCUCUAAAUGGGAGGUAAAUCUCUUCUAAAGCUAAAUACCAGCCAGAGACCGAUAGCGCACAAGUAGAGUGAUCGAAAGAUGAAAAGCACCUUGAAAAGGGGGUUAAAUAGUACGUGAAAUUGUUGAAAGGGAAGCACUUGUGACCAGACUUGGGCCGGGCGGCUCAUCAGGGGUUCUCCCCUGUGCACUCCGCCCGGCACAGGCCAGCAUCGGUUCUCGUGGGGGGAUAAGACCGUUAGGAACGUAGCACCCUCCGGGGUGUGUUAUAGCCUGGCGGACGAUACCCCCGUGGGGACCGAGGUUCGCGCUCCGCAAGGAUGCUGGCGUAAUGGUCACCAGUGACCC